UAUCACAAGUGCGAAUGCUGACAUAAGUAACGAUAAAACGAGUGAAAAACUCGUUCGCCGGAAGACCAAGGGUUCCUGUCCAACGUUAAUCGGGGCAGGGUGAGUCGGCCCCUAAGGCGAGGCUGAAAAGCGUAGUCGAUGGGAAACGGGUUAAUAUUCCCGUACUUGGUAAAGCUGCGAUGUGGGGACGGAGAAGGUUAGGUUAGCAGACUGUUGGAUGUCUGUUUAAGUUGGUAGGUGGGRAGUUUAGGCAAAUCCGGACUUCCAUAACACUGAGAGAUGAUGACGAGUUUCUACGGAAAUGAAGUAACUGAUACCACGCUUCCAGGAAAAGCCACUAAGCGAAAGGCUUUACUAAACCGUACUGAAAACCGACACAGGUGGUCAGGUAGAGAAUACUCAGGCGCUUGAGAGAACUCGGGUGAAGGAACUAGGCAAAAUAGCACCGUAACUUCGGGAGAAGGUGCGCUGGCGUAGGUUGUARGAGUAUACCUCCGAAGGCUGAACCAGUCGAAGAUACCAGCUGGCUGCAACUGUUUAUUAAAAACACAGCACUCUGCAAACACGAAAGUGGACGUAUAGGGUGUGAUGCCUGCCCGGUGCUGGAAGGUUAAUUGAUGGUGUUAUCGAAAGAGAAGCUCCUGAUCGAAGCCCCAGUAAACGGCGGCCGUAACUAUAACGGUCCUAAGGUAGCGAAAUUCCUUGUCGGGUAAGUUCCGACCUGCACGAAUGGCAUAAUGAUGGCCAGGCUGUCUCCACCCGAGACUCAGUGAAAUUGAAAUCGCCGUGAAGAUGCGGUGUACCCGCGGCUAGACGGAAAGACCCCGUGAACCUUUACUAUAGCUUGACACUGAACAUUGAAUUUUGAUGUGUAGGAUAGGUGGGAGCCUAAGAAGCAGUCACGCCAGUGAUUGUGGAGGCGUCCUUGAAAUACCACCCUUUAACAUUUGAUGUUCUAACGAAGAUUGCGAAACGCGGUCUCGGACAGUGUCUGGUGGGUAGUUUGACUGGGGCGGUCUCCUCCCAAAGCGUAACGGAGGAGCACGAAGGUUUGCUAAUCACGGUCGGACAUCGUGAGGUUAGUGCAAUGGUAUAAGCAAGCUUAACUGCGAGACAGACAAGUCGAGCAGGUGCGAAAGCAGGUCAUAGUGAUCCGGUGGUUCUGAAUGGAAGGGCCAUCGCUCAACGGAUAAAAGGUACUCCGGGGAUAACAGGCUGAUACCGCCCAAGAGUUCAUAUCGACGGCGGUGUUUGGCACCUCGAUGUCGGCUCAUCACAUCCUGGGGCUGAAGUAGGUCCCAAGGGUAUGGCUGUUCGCCAUUUAAAGUGGUACGCGAGCUGGGUUUAGAACGUCGUGAGACAGUUCGGUCCCUAUCUGCCGUGGGCGUUGGAGAAUUGAGAGGGGCUGCUCCUAGUACGAGAGGACCGGAGUGGACGCAUCACUGGUGUACCAGUUGUCUCGCCAGAGGCAYUGCUGGGUAGCUAAAUGCGGAAGAGAUAAGUGCUGAAAGCAUCUAAGCACGAAACUCGCCUUAAGAUGAGUUCUCCCUAGCUAUAAGCUAGUAAGGGUUGUUGAAGACUACGACGUAGAUAGGUCUGGUGUGUAAGCGGUGUGAGCCGUUGAGCUAACAGAUACUAAUUGCCCGAGAGGCUUAACUAU
This 1660-nucleotide ribosomal RNA is filed under the name Glaesserella parasuis. Its description in RNAcentral is "partial 23S ribosomal RNA". Lineage: Bacteria; Pseudomonadati; Pseudomonadota; Gammaproteobacteria; Pasteurellales; Pasteurellaceae. The record is from RNAcentral.